This 861-nucleotide unclassified non-coding RNA is filed under the name Hevea brasiliensis (rubber tree). Lineage: Eukaryota; Viridiplantae; Streptophyta; Magnoliopsida; Malpighiales; Euphorbiaceae. The record is from RNAcentral.
ACAACACGCCCAUCAUCAAUAUUCAUGCGUGGUCCAUACGUGUUAAAAAUUCUAGCAAUGCGAAUUUCUAUCCCAUGCUGCCUAUGAUAAUCAAACAUCAAGGUCUCAGCCACACGCUUUCCCUCAUCAUAGCAGCUCCGAACCCCAAUUGGGUUAACAUUACCCCAGUAGCUCUCUGGCUGAGGGUGCACAAGAGGAUCACCAUAUACCUCUGAAGUUGAUGUAAGCAAAAUUCUUGCUCCAACUCGCUUGGCAAGACCCAGCAUGUUCAGUGUGCCAAUCACAUUUGUUUUUAUUGUCUUCACGGGAUUAUAUUUAUAGAAAAUGGGAGAAGCAGGGCAUGCAAGAUGGUAAAUCUGAUCAACCUCAAUCAACAAUGGCUCCGUGACAUCAUGACGAAUGAGUUCAAAUCUUGGAUGGCCAAUCCAUUUUUUAAGAUUGUCCUUUGAUCCAGUAAAGUAGUUAUCAGCAACUAUUACCUCAUUUUUCUCAUUUUCCAUUAGUUUGUCAACCAGAUGUGAUCCAAUGAAUCCAGCUCCUCCAGUAACCAAAAUUCUCAUAUUGGACUGAAAAAACUUGGAGUUGCGCAAAGGAGAAGGCGUUGGAGGUGGCUUAGUCGUUGUUUGGUACUCCCCAUUUGAAGAAUUGGUCGCCAUUUUUCAGAUCUCAAUCACCUGAUGACAAUGAACUACAAAGGAAAAUAACCCAAAACCGAGACUUGCUUUCUUGUGAUUCACAACACUGAAGGGAUCAGAGACUGAUAUUUAUAGUCCAAAAAUCGAAACUUCACCCACCAAAUAGAAAGUAAUAAUAGAGUGUGUCCUUGAUGAAAGCUCCUCCGUAACAAAUACCAAAAACCCA